CAGCAGCCGCGGUAAAACGUAGGGUGCGAGCGUCAAUCGGAAUUACUGGGCGUAAAGCGUGCGCAGGCGGCUUUGCAAGACAGAUGUGAAAUCCCCGGGCUCAACCUGGGAACUGCAUUUGUGACUGCAAGGCUAGAGUGCGGCAGAGGGAGAUGGAAUUCCGCGUGUAGCAGUGAAAUGCGUAGAUAUGCGGAGGAACACCGAUGGCGAAGGCAAUCUCCUGGGCCUGCACUGACGCUCAUGCACGAAAGCGUGGGGAGCAAACAGGAUUAGAUACCCCCGUAGUCCCUGUCUCUUAUAC
RNAcentral lists this ribosomal RNA (301 nucleotides) under uncultured bacterium. Its description in RNAcentral is "partial 16S ribosomal RNA". It matches the Rfam family "Bacterial small subunit ribosomal RNA", at positions 509 to 807 of the family's 1533-position model. The record is from RNAcentral.